AGCAGUCGCCACGGUAAUACGUAGGUGGCAAGCGUUGUCCGGAAUUAUUGGGCGUAAAGGGCUCGCAGGCGGUUUCUUAAGUCUGAUGUGAAAGCCCCCGGCUCAACCGGGGAGGGUCAUUGGAAACUGGGAAACUUGAGUGCAGAAGAGGAGAGUGGAAUUCCACGUGUAGCGGUGAAAUGCGUAGAGAUGUGGAGGAACACCAGUGGCGAAGGCGACUCUCUGGUCUGUAACUGACGCUGAGGAGCGAAAGCGUGGGGAGCGAACAGGAUUAGAUACCCCUGUAGUCCCUGUCUCUUAUAC
This 303-nucleotide ribosomal RNA is filed under the name uncultured bacterium. RNAcentral's name for it is "partial 16S ribosomal RNA". It matches the Rfam family "Bacterial small subunit ribosomal RNA", at positions 507 to 807 of the family's 1533-position model. The record is from RNAcentral.